AUUGAACGCUGGCGGCAUGCCUUACACAUGCAAGUCGAACGGCAGCGCGGGGCAACCUGGCGGCGAGUGGCGAACGGGUGAGUAAUAUAUCGGAACGUGCCCUGGAGUGGGGGAUAACGUAGCGAAAGUUACGCUAAUACCGCAUACGAUCCAAGGAUGAAAGCAGGGGACCUUCGGGCCUUGUGCUCCUGGAGCGGCCGAUAUCUGAUUAGCUAGUUGGUGGGGUAAAAGCCUACCAAGGCGACGAUCAGUAGCUGGUCUGAGAGGACGACCAGCCACACUGGAACUGAGACACGGUCCAGACUCCUACGGGAGGCAGCAGUGGGGGAAUUUUGGACAAUGGGGGGCAACCCUGAUCCAGCAAUGCCGCGUGUGUGAAGAAGGCCU
RNAcentral lists this ribosomal RNA (387 nucleotides) under uncultured bacterium. RNAcentral describes it as "bacterial SSU rRNA". It matches the Rfam family "Bacterial small subunit ribosomal RNA", at positions 30 to 417 of the family's 1533-position model. The record is from RNAcentral.